Molecule: long non-coding RNA, 443 nt
Filed under: Gallus gallus (chicken)
Lineage: Eukaryota; Metazoa; Chordata; Aves; Galliformes; Phasianidae
Description: lncRNA (ENSGALG00010004052.1)
Source: RNAcentral
GCAUAUCCUAAUCUCAGAGAUUCUUGAGAUCUCUCAGUGUACCAGUUUUCAACACAUGUUUACAAAGUACUUCAGAGUCUGCUUCUGCUCGAGUACCCCAGCUGGAGUACUGCUGUGCAAUUAGUCAGCUAGAGGACAACCCAGGCAAAGCAUAAGAAUGAUCCUGACAGUGUUCAUGGAAAAAUGUUCUUCCACAUUAUUCUCUGGUGAAAUGGAGUAGACAUUUACUUCAUUAUCUGCCCUGGGAACAAAAACCACAGAAUAGCUUUAAUCAGCAAUUGGCUGAAGAAAACUCCAUGGGACUUAGCGGUAGCAAGGCUCAUUAAAUUACAUGAGGAGCAUUCUGCACAUUCAACUGAUGGUGAAAGCAUAAGGACCAAGAAGAUCUUAGAGCGAAUUUGAGGAACAGAGAAGGCAAAGAACAGUUUGGAAUGACCUGAGAG